This 465-nucleotide ribosomal RNA is filed under the name uncultured bacterium. RNAcentral describes it as "bacterial SSU rRNA". It matches the Rfam family "Bacterial small subunit ribosomal RNA", at positions 338 to 795 of the family's 1533-position model. The record is from RNAcentral.
CCUACGGGAUGCAGCAGUAGGGAAUCUUCGGCAAUGGACGAAAGUCUGACCGAGCAACGCCGCGUGUGUGAAGAAGGCUUUCGGAUCGUAAAACUCUGUUGUUAGAGAAGAACAAGGACGUUAGUAACUGAACGUCCCCUGACGGUAUCUAACCAGAAAGCCACGGCUAACUACGUGCCAGCAGCCGCGGUAAUACGUAGGUGGCAAGCGUUGUCCGGAUUUAUUGGGCGUAAAGCGAGCGCAGGCGGUUUCUUAAGUCUGAUGUGAAAGCCCCCGGCUCAACCGGGGAGGGUCAUUGGAAACUGGGAAACUUGAGUACAGAAGAGGAGAGUGGAAUUCCAUGUGUAGCGGUGAAAUGCGUAGAUAUAGGGAGGAACACCAGUGGCGAAGGCGGCUCUCUGGUCUGUAACUGACGCUGAGGCACGAAAGCGUGGGGAGCAAACAGGAUUAGAUACCCCCGUAGUC